UUGACCUCGGAUCAGGUAGGACUACCCGCUGAACUUAAGCAUAUCAAUAAGCGGAGGAAAAGAAACCAACAGGGAUUGCCCCAGUAACGGCGAGUGAAGCGGCAACAGCUCAAAUUUGAAAUCUGGCCUUCGGGUCCGAGUUGUAAUUUGGAGAGGAUGCUUCUGGCGCGGCACCGUCCGAGUUCCUUGGAACAGGACGCCAUAGAGGGUGAGAGCCCCGUACGGGCGGCUGCCUAGCCUUUGUGAAGCUCCUUCGACGAGUCGAGUAGUUUGGGAAUGCUGCUCAAAAUGGGAGGUAAAUUUCUUCUAAAGCUAAAUACCGGCCAGAGACCGAUAGCGCACAAGUAGAGUGAUCGAAAGAUGAAAAGCACUUUGAAAAGAGGGUUAAAAAGUACGUGAAAUUGUUGAAAGGGAAGCGCCUGUGACCAGACUUGCGGCUCGCGGAUCAUCCAGUGUUCUUCACCGGUGCACUCCGCGGGCUGCAGGCCAGCAUCGGUUUUCCUGGGGGGACAAAGGUCGCGGGAACGUAGCUCUUUCGGGAGUGUUAUAGCCCGUGGCGUCAUGCCUCCGGGGGGACCGAGGACCGCGCUUCGGCAAGGAUGCUGGCGUAAUGGUCACCGGCGACCCGUCUUGAAACACGGACCAAGGAGUCAAGCAUUGGGGCNGAGUGUCUGGGUGCCAAACCCGCACGCGAAAUGAAAGUAAACGCAGGUGAGAGCUUCGGCGCAUCACCGACCGAUCCUGAUGUCUUCGGAUGGAUUUGAGUAAGAGCCUUACCGCUUGGACCCGAAAGAUGGUGNCCUAUGCCUGUAUAGGGUGAAGCCAGAGGAAANNNCUGGUGGAGGCUCGCAGCGGUUCUGACGUGCAAAUCGAUCGUCAAAUAUGGGCAUGGGGCGAAAAACUAAUGGACCUCUAAAGGGUUAACGAAGUUUCCCUCAGGA
Molecule: ribosomal RNA, 941 nt
Filed under: Ophiostoma macrosporum
Lineage: Eukaryota; Fungi; Ascomycota; Sordariomycetes; Ophiostomatales; Ophiostomataceae
Description: LSU rRNA
Rfam family: Eukaryotic large subunit ribosomal RNA
Source: RNAcentral